AGAGUUUGAUCCUGGCUCAGAACGAACGCUGGCGGCAGGCUUAACACAUGCAAGUCGAGCGCACCCUUCGGGGUGAGCGGCGGACGGGUUAGUAACGCGUGGGAACGUGCCCAGAUCUGCGGAAUAGCCACUGGAAACGGUGAGUAAUACCGCAUACGCCCUUCGGGGGAAAGAUUUAUCGGAUUUGGAUCGGCCCGCGUUAGAUUAGGUAGUUGGUGGGGUAAUGGCCUACCAAGCCUACGAUCUAUAGCUGGUUUUAGAGGAUGAUCAGCAACACUGGGACUGAGACACGGCCCAGACUCCUACGGGAGGCAGCAGUGGGGAAUCUUGGACAAUGGGGGCAACCCUGAUCCAGCCAUGCCGCGUGAGUGAUGAAGGCCUUAGGGUCGUAAAGCUCUUUCGCCAGGGAUGAUAAUGACAGUACCUGGUAAAGAAACCCCGGCUAACUCCGUGCCAGCAGCCGCGGUAAUACGGAGGGGGUUAGCGUUGUUCGGAAUUACUGGGCGUAAAGCGCACGUAGGCGGAUUAGUCAGUCAGAGGUGAAAUCCCAGGGCUCAACCCUGGAACUGCCUUUGAUACUGCUAGUCUUGAGUUCGAGAGAGGUGAGUGGAAUUCCGAGUGUAGAGGUGAAAUUCGUAGAUAUUCGGAGGAACACCAGUGGCGAANGCGGCUCACUGGCUCGAUACUGACGCUGA
Molecule: ribosomal RNA, 695 nt
Filed under: uncultured Alphaproteobacteria bacterium
Lineage: Bacteria; Pseudomonadati; Pseudomonadota; Alphaproteobacteria
Description: bacterial SSU rRNA
Rfam family: Bacterial small subunit ribosomal RNA
Source: RNAcentral